GCGGAUAUGGCGGAACUGGCUGACGCAGUAGACUUAGAAUUUAUUGAGGCAACCCCGUGCAGGUUCAAUUUCUGUUAUCCGCA
RNAcentral lists this transfer RNA (83 nucleotides) under Caudoviricetes sp. RNAcentral's name for it is "tRNA-Leu". It matches the Rfam family "tRNA". Rfam says of the family: Transfer RNA (tRNA) molecules are approximately 80 nucleotides in length. Their secondary structure includes four short double-helical elements and three loops (D, anti-codon, and T loops). Further hydrogen bonds mediate the characteristic L-shaped molecular structure. tRNAs have two regions of fundamental functional importance: the anti-codon, which is responsible for specific mRNA codon recognition, and the 3' end, to which the tRNAs corresponding amino acid is attached (by aminoacyl-tRNA synthetases). tRNAs cope with the degeneracy of the genetic code in two manners: having more than one tRNA (with a specific anti-codon) for a particular amino acid; and 'wobble' base-pairing, i.e. permitting non-standard base-pairing at the 3rd anti-codon position. The record is from RNAcentral. Lineage: Duplodnaviria; Heunggongvirae; Uroviricota; Caudoviricetes.